GCGGGGUUGUGGCUCAGUGGUAGAGCACUUGCCUCACGCAUGUGAGGCACUGGGUUUGAUUCUCAGCACCGCA
Molecule: transfer RNA, 73 nt
Filed under: Marmota monax (woodchuck)
Lineage: Eukaryota; Metazoa; Chordata; Mammalia; Rodentia; Sciuridae
Description: tRNA.Val
Source: RNAcentral